AAUCUAGUACUUGUCAUUUCUUCUUCAACUUCUUGUUUAGAUUUCUUGUUUGUAUUUUUGGUCCGUGACAGUUUGUCGAGACUACCUUUAUCUUAAUAUCAGAGCUGAAUCCUUCUUGUUUGAGAGCGGAUUACCCCUCUUCUUAAAGGUAUUCUAGCGCUUUAGGGGUUGCGGAUUACCUUCCUCUAAACUGAUAUUUUCUCAAUCACAAUAUCAG
This 217-nucleotide long non-coding RNA is filed under the name Physcomitrium patens. Its description in RNAcentral is "long non-coding RNA (PPAT_LNC014647)". Lineage: Eukaryota; Viridiplantae; Streptophyta; Bryopsida; Funariales; Funariaceae. The record is from RNAcentral.